AGAGCAAGAGUCGGCUCGGCACGAGGAGAGGAGAUAAGAUAAGAAUUAAGAAGUCAUUUCGUCAUUAAAGUCAUCAAUUCAUCAUCAUGCCGCCAUCUAACCAGAUUCCAAAGCACGUGCAUUGUGUUUUCACGUCUUGUCUGAGUCUGAAUUCUACUUCAUCAGUUUCUUUGCGGUUCCUCGAGCCAAGGAUUGGCCGUUUUCUCAUGGCAACAUCAAAAGGGGUAAGGAAAGGACUUGAGAAACUGCCAUCCAACUGUUGAAAUUUUGUAUAUUUCAGUCACGCCCAUGGGGAGCUUGCCUAUCAUUUGUUGAGUUGUAGCCCACAUUCAAUACGGAUCAACACCUAUCAAUACUGCAGUUAAAGGUAUGUAAUAACUUGUGGUGCAGUUUAUCGCGAGACAAUUAGGGGAUUGAAUGCAGAUUGCCCAUUGUUUUAAUAAGCAAUGAGGGAGGGCUAACUUGCCCUUUUUUAAUGGUGUCCAAUACAAAAUAAACUAUGAACUAAGAAAAAUCAUGGGUAAGUAAUUUUAGAAUUAAUUAAAUUUAAGAGUAUACUAUUUUUCAAACGUAAAAUCACCAAAACAGGGAAUCAGUGAGUCCAAGAUGAAAAGUAGAAGCGUAAGGCUAAUCAAAAAGUUGGUUCAUCAAUUUAUGAUUGAUAUUAAUUUUUAUCAUCCAAUAUCUUAACAUUUAACGUAAUUUCGUAUGUAAUAUUGAAUGUAAUCUCUUAACGUAAUGCCUCUGCUCAACCUAUUAUGUUCAUGUCAUUGUACAUUUGGAGCAUUUUUGCAUCCUACACUUAAAUGUGUGGCAACACUUGUUUUACAAAAUUGGUCAAAAGGAGGCUGCAGGCACACCUGCAAAUCAAGAGCUUUCAUCUAAUGGAGUGGGAAUGAUACCUCUCCAGAAAACAAUUCUCUAAAGUUAUUACCUUUUUGCAAUGAGCCCUGAUUUUACUGAACAAUUGGUUUUCCCCUUCUUCCAUACCGAUCCAAUUUCUGUGUCACACAUUUUUACAAUUGGUUUGAGUUCAUGAGAAAAGAAUAUAUAUAUUUUUUCUUAUAAAAUGAGCCAAAAGUUGUUAUAGCUUGAUAAGUGUAUUAAUUUUCCCGGAAAAAAAACUGGCACCUGCCAAAAAUGUACUCAAUCAGAGUCCAACUCUAUCAGUAAUAGUACGUAAGUGAAGAUGGAACGGAACUCAUCGACGAGGUUGUCUCCUGACCCUUCAUAUCUCAACUUAUGAAGCUUUUCGCGGAUCCUUAGUCUUCUUGGGACUUCUAUUUAAUCCUUUUGGAACUGUUACUUGAAUUGCCAUUUCAUGGAACAUACCAAUCAGUUGGUACAAUUGCAUUAAAUUGCAACUUUCAAUUUUGACAUUUUUAUUGCACUGUUUUACUUGAAUAAGAGGAUGUUUCGAUAAAUAAUUUUUUCUUAGCCGUAUAUCAAUGACCUUGCAUUGAUUUGAUGGCUCAGGAUCUGUACAACACUAGAAAGGAAACGGAGUCACUGCUGUGCAGGGCCCUAAGCCCCAUCCAUUAUUGGGCCUCGGGGCCUGUCCGGGAGAGCGGAUGAAAUGACUAACACAAGAUAUCUAUGAAAAUUGUGGCUCGGAUGGCCACCACACCUCCUACCAACAUGUAGGAAAAGAUAAUCAGCACUUACAGGGUGA
This is a non-coding RNA of Bemisia tabaci, 1672 nucleotides long. The record is from RefSeq and is a predicted model, not a curated record. Lineage: Eukaryota; Metazoa; Arthropoda; Insecta; Hemiptera; Aleyrodidae.